Molecule: ribosomal RNA, 892 nt
Filed under: uncultured Tulasnella
Lineage: Eukaryota; Fungi; Basidiomycota; Agaricomycetes; Cantharellales; Tulasnellaceae
Description: eukaryotic LSU rRNA
Rfam family: Eukaryotic large subunit ribosomal RNA (bases 311-892)
Source: RNAcentral
GUGAUGUGAUGCGCAAGUCCACCACUUAUACGUGAAUCAUCGAGUUGUUGAACGCACCGCACCGCGCCCUAAUCCGGCUGCGGUAUGCCCCUUUGAGCGUCAUUGUAUCCCUUCGGGAGUCUUUUCAUCGAGACCCGAGUUCGGAGUCCUCGGUCUUUGGAUCGUGUUCUCUCAGAUGCGUCGCGCCGAUCGCCUGAUGGGUCGCUCUAAUGCCUAAGCGUGGAGUCCCUCGGAGCCCGAAACGCGCUUGACCGGGUGUUGAGCCCGCGUCGCCAAGUCCGCACGUCUUACGUGGCGGUACUACAACGCAUGACCUCAUUGGGGUAGGACAACCCGCUAGACUUAAGCAUAUUAAUCAGCGGAGGAAAAGAAACUAACCAGGAUUCCCUCAGUAACUGCGAGUGAAGCGGGACCGGCUCAAUGUGUGAAUCUGGCUUGGGGUAGAUCCCUGGUCCGAGUUGUGCACUAUGGACGUUUCGUCUGCGUUUGUAAUGGCGGUGGAAGUCCGUUGAAACACGGCACCUCAGAGGGUCACAGUCCUGUACCACCUGCCUGCACUCGCGCCAAUGACAAGCGCUCCUCGAGUCGCGUAGUUUUGUAAUGCUGCGCCAAGUGGGAGGUAGAGACCUUCUAAGGCUAAAUAUGAUGACGUGACCGAUAGCACACAAGUACCGCGAGGGAAAGGUGAAAAGCAACCAUGAAAAAUGGGUUGAAACAGCAGUGAAAGCGCUACCGGGAUAAGGGCUAUCGGGUGCUGGGGCUUCUUGGGUGUGCUUCAGUGCUACCCUUGGAGACGGCCCGCGUGGGUUGAUGUUGGGGCGAUAGACGCGUCGUUGGAAUUCAGCUGUCUUUGGGCAGUGUUGUAGCCUUCGGUUGCCGAUCCUCCUGCGAC